Long non-coding RNA from Perca fluviatilis (European perch), 547 nucleotides. RefSeq lists it as uncharacterized. The record is from RefSeq and is a predicted model, not a curated record. Lineage: Eukaryota; Metazoa; Chordata; Actinopteri; Perciformes; Percidae. The transcript is spliced from 2 exons.
GAGAAACGCUGGUAUGUGUUGCAAUCAAAAGCCAGAGAGGAAAUUGCAGCACACAAGCGGGAGUCUUCACGCACAGGUGAGUGCUAUAACACUUUUUUGUACGCUGGCAAACUUAUCUCUAACAAUUAUAUAUGUAUAGCCUACUGUACAUGUGGUCCACUGUAUUGUUUUUUAGGGGGGGGACCACCUGCUAAACAGCUGUCCCAAGUAGCCCAAACCGUUUUUAACAUCUUAGGUCACUCAGAAACGAGUAUCACCGGUUUGAAGGAGGGCACAGACAGCUCAAUGAUUCAGCUGGUGGAACUAUAAAAAUGUAGCACAGAGCCUUCAGCAGAGGAAUGGGGACCGUCGACAUCGCAGGUGGGCGACCCUCAGCCCGAAGCGCCUCAUUCCUUCUGCUGCCACCGCAGCUGCUCCAACACCAUCCCUAGUAGACCAAAAACUGGAGAUGGAUGUCCUAAAGCAGCAGAAAAUAGUACUCCAUCUACAGGAGGAGUACUACAAACUAAAAAUUGAGCUACUCAAAAAUAAAACUAAUAACAAAUAA